Molecule: ribosomal RNA, 431 nt
Filed under: uncultured bacterium
Lineage: Bacteria
Description: partial 16S ribosomal RNA
Rfam family: Bacterial small subunit ribosomal RNA
Source: RNAcentral
ACGAACGCUGGCGGCAUGCCUCACACAUGCAAGUCGCACGCGACCUUCGGGUCUAGUGGCGCACGGGUGCGUAACGCGUGGGAACCUGCCCUUAGGUUCGGAAUAACUCCCCGAAAGGGGUGCUAAUACCGGAUAAUGUCUUCGGACCAAAGAUUUAUCGCCUUUGGAUGGGCCCGCGUUGGAUUAGCUAGUUGGUAGGGUAAAAGCCUACCAAGGCGACGAUCCAUAGCUGGUCUGAGAGGAUGAUCAGCCACACUGGGACUGAGACACGGCCCAGACUCCUACGGGAGGCAGCAGUGGGGAAUAUUGGACAAUGGGCGAAAGCCUGAUCCAGCAAUGCCGCGUGAGUGAUGAAGGCCUUAGGGUUGUAAAGCUCUUUUACCCGGGAUGAUAAUGACAGUACCGGGAGAAUAAGCUCCGGCUAACUCCGU